Dreissena polymorpha is the source of this 2589-nucleotide long non-coding RNA. RefSeq lists it as uncharacterized. The transcript has 2 exons. NCBI's taxonomy places the organism in Eukaryota, Metazoa, Mollusca, Bivalvia, Myida, Dreissenidae. The record is from RefSeq and is a predicted model, not a curated record.
ACAGAAGCCACGAAAAUCAGACAGAAAGAGUGGGGGAUAUGUACCAGCCUAUAGAUCUGGUCCUUACGACCUCAUCGUCACCCUCUACAAGGCCACCAUUGGCCAAAUCUUCAGCUGCAGAAGCAGAGCACAGAAAGUCUUUCAGCAGACAGAAGUCUCUAUGCUAGACACCACUGCCAGUUAACUGAUAAAUAAAAGCACAAGCAACUCACAUUCAAAUCGUCUUCUCAACAAACACAUGUUUUCAAGUACAGGAACACUCAACCCCUGCUUUCAGUUGAAGAGGACGCAGCUUAUUGUGAAUAUUGUGUGACCUUUCAUGGCAACAAAACAUGUGGGAAACUAGUGUUGAAACCUUUCCAAAAUUUAGAAAUAGCCUUGGAAUUACUGAAGGACAAUUUCAAACCUUAUGUAAAUAAACAUGCAGAGGAAUGUAAGCCAAAGCAGGCUACCAUGCACAUAGUGAUUUAAGAACAUUCUUACUACACAUAUCUACCAGUAAGCCACAGCAGGCUAUCAUUCUAAUAGUGAUUCAAGAACAUUCUUACUACACAUAUCUACAGGUAAUCCACAACAGGCUUUCAUCCACAUAGUGAUUCAAGAACAUUCUUACUACACAUAUCUACCGGUAAGCCACAGCAGGCUAUCAUGCUUAUAGUGAUUCAAGAACAUUCUUACUACACAUAUCUACAGGUAAUCCACAGCAGGCUUUCAUGCACAUAGUGAUUCAAGAACCUUCUUACUACACAUAUCUUCCGGUAAGCCACAGCAGGCUUUCAUGCUUAUAGUGAUUCAAGAACAUUCUUACUACACAUAUCUACAGGUAAUCCACAACAGGCUUUCAUCCACAUAGUGAUUCAAGAACAUUCUUACUACACAUAUCUACCGGUAAGCCACAACAGGCUAUCAUGCUUAUAGUGAUUCAAGAACAUUCUUACUACACAUAUCUACCGGUAAGCCACAGCAGGCUAUCAUGCACAUAGUGAUUCACGACCUUUCUUACUACACAUAUCUACCGGUAAGCCACAUCAGGCUACCAGGCACAUAGUGAUUCAAGAACAGUCUUACUACACAUAUCUACCGUUAAGCCACAGCAGUCUACCAGGCACAUCGUGAUUCAAGAACAUUCUUACUACACAUAUCUACAGGUAAUCCACAGCAGGCUGUCAUGCACAUAGUGAUUCAAGAACAUUCUUACUACACACAUCUACCGGUAAGCCACAGCAGGCUAUCAUGCUUAUAGUGAUUCGAGAACGUUCUUACUACACAUACAGGGUGAUCCAUAAUAUCUGAUACCAUUUUGGGGUCGUGUAAAUUCUACAUAUAUCACAUGAUUUUGAAUAUCAACACUGAAAUAAAAACUAGACAUGUCCAAGUUUUCAUGAUCUUAAAAUUGUGCAUAUGAAGCAAGAAACGACAAUGACACUCACAGACCAAGUUUUACAUCAAAUGUUCGAUGUGACGUCCGUUUUGUGCUAUAACGACAUCAAGUCGUUUUUAUAAAUUUUCAAUAACAUUGGCGCACGUUGCUUGCGUGAUUUUCUUCAUUUCUCGGAAAGUGGCUGACUUCAGCUGCUCAAUUGUAUCUGGCUUAGGGAUAUAGACAUUGUCCUUCAAGUGUCCUCACAGAAAAAAAUCCAACAGACUGCGUUCUGGGGAGUGUGGAGGCCAUACUUUAUCUGUUUUAUAUGAAAUUAAUUUACUACCAAAUGCUUCUCUCAAACAUUCCAAAACGUGUCCUGCAGUAUGUGGUGCAGCUCCAUCUUGCUGAAACCAUAAUAGUUAAUGUCAAUUCCUUUUUUUCACAAGGCAGGAAGAAUUUUUUUCUUAAAGAGAUAUCGGGCACUAUUUACUGUUGUGGUUUCACCUUCUGAUUCGGAAAAAAGGUCCAAUCACACCGGUCAAACUCAGUGCUGCCCAUACUGUCACCUUUUCAUCAUGAACAGGCUUUUCUAAAUAGAAAUGUGGUUUCUCCUUACUCCAUACUCUACUGUUCUGUUUGUAAGGAGUGUUAUUAAGAUAAAAAUGUGAUUCAUUUGAAAAUCAUACUUUAUCCACCAAUUUAUCAACCAUCCAUUUAUCAAACUCUAGUCUGCUGUUUAUGUCUGUUUCUUUCAAAUGUUGCAUUGUUUCUUUCAAAUGUUGUCUGUUUCUUUCAAAUGUUGCACUAUAGACACCGAAUAAGGAUACAAUUUCAAAUUGAAACGCAGCGCUCUGUUAACACUUCCAUAACUAGACUUACUGUUGAUAUCUCCUAGAACCUUUCUAACUGACUUCUAUGGUGUCUCCUGAAUCACCUCAAGGAUCUAUCGGUAAGCCGUUCCUUGGUGUGAACAAGAAGAAUGCACAAUUGACUUAUUAGAUUGAUGCUGCUCUAGGGGCCCAGGUUCAGAAAAACACGUGCAUGCCAAAAACACUUGGCAUUUUAUUUUUUCAAAUGUUGUUUUCUUCAUCAAACAUCAUACCACUUUGCACGAGUAAGGGAAAAACAAUCAACAACUGAAAGAUAGUAAUAUAUAUAUUUAAGCUGUGUUCACUUUUGUUUCUUUCUUAUUUUCUUAAAAAUAAUGGUAUAAACAGUAAAUAAGU